RNAcentral lists this transfer RNA (74 nucleotides) under Chloroflexota bacterium. RNAcentral's name for it is "Chloroflexi bacterium (anaerobic digester metagenome) tRNA-Val". It matches the Rfam family "tRNA". Rfam says of the family: Transfer RNA (tRNA) molecules are approximately 80 nucleotides in length. Their secondary structure includes four short double-helical elements and three loops (D, anti-codon, and T loops). Further hydrogen bonds mediate the characteristic L-shaped molecular structure. tRNAs have two regions of fundamental functional importance: the anti-codon, which is responsible for specific mRNA codon recognition, and the 3' end, to which the tRNAs corresponding amino acid is attached (by aminoacyl-tRNA synthetases). tRNAs cope with the degeneracy of the genetic code in two manners: having more than one tRNA (with a specific anti-codon) for a particular amino acid; and 'wobble' base-pairing, i.e. permitting non-standard base-pairing at the 3rd anti-codon position. Lineage: Bacteria; Bacillati; Chloroflexota. The record is from RNAcentral.
GGGUGACUAGCUCAAUUGGUUAGAGCGCUUCCCUUACAAGGAAGAGGUUAGGGGUUCGAGUCCCUUGUCACCCA